This is a long non-coding RNA of Vigna angularis (adzuki bean), 632 nucleotides long. RefSeq lists it as uncharacterized. Lineage: Eukaryota; Viridiplantae; Streptophyta; Magnoliopsida; Fabales; Fabaceae. The transcript has 3 exons. The record is from RefSeq and is a predicted model, not a curated record.
GUUUCACUUUGAGCAUAUUCAUUACUAUUAUUAAUAUGUAGCAUUCCAAGAUGCCUGUCCCCAAUUCAAAUUCAAAUCCAUCCUCAACAACCUAUUCUUCACGGCUUCACUAUUCUCAAAAAUCAUUGAGCUAUCUGGAAGAACUUCUCAAGUUCAUUUGCAGAGAAGGAGCUGGAGCUUGAAAUUUUGAAUAGAGGUCAAAUUUUAAUGAGGAAAUAUCAGAACUUUUUUCCCCUGUUUGGAAAAAGUUAGACUCCACUGCAAUUGAUCAAAGCUUCCCUAGAAUCACCAAGCAACUUGACGCCACGAAAGGGAGAUUGAGGUCUUCGAGAGGGAGAUAUACCAGUAGCAGCUGCUCUUGAGCGACGGAAGGGAGAGAGUCUACCUGGAAGUAAUUCACCAGAAUAGGUAAAUCUAUUUGAUUCACUAGCCAAUUUCUUUUUACCCUCUUGCUUGUCAGGUGACGGUGCCCUGGAGCUUGAUUUGUUCCUGUGAAUUGCAUCCCAAGCCUGCAGAAAAUAUUCAUGAUUGUUUCACAACCUCACUGGCUGGAGGCAAGGAAACCUGGUUUUUCAUUUUCAUGGCAGCCACAGGAUUCAUUAAGCACAAUGAAUUCCUGAUAUGUAAUUGAG